This 92-nucleotide non-coding RNA is filed under the name Neobacillus bataviensis. The record is from RNAcentral. Lineage: Bacteria; Bacillati; Bacillota; Bacilli; Caryophanales; Bacillaceae.
AGGAGCCGUGUGUGCAUUAAUAGUGCAAGCACGGUUCUGUGAGGGGGGCGAGACAAUCUACAGCAAGGUAUAAAGGCUCCCUUCUACUCGAC